This 484-nucleotide ribosomal RNA is filed under the name uncultured bacterium. RNAcentral's name for it is "partial 16S ribosomal RNA". It matches the Rfam family "Bacterial small subunit ribosomal RNA", at positions 30 to 507 of the family's 1533-position model. The record is from RNAcentral.
AUUGAGCGCUGGCGGCAGGCCUAACACAUGCAAGUCGAGCGGAUGAAGGGAGCUUGCUCCUGGAUUCAGCGGCGGACGGGUGAGUAAUGCCUAGGAAUCUGCCUGGUAGUGGGGGAUAACGUCCGGAAACGGGCGCUAAUACCGCAUACGUCCUGAGGAAGAAAGUGGGGGAUCUUCGGACCUCACGCUAUCAGAUGAGCCUAGGUCGGAUUAGCUAGUUGGUGGGGUAAAGGCCUACCAAGGCGACGAUCCGUAACUGGUCUGAGAGGAUGAUCAGUCACACUGGAACUGAGACACGGUCCAGACUCCUACGGGAGGCAGCAGUGGGGAAUAUUGGACAAUGGGCGAAAGCCUGAUCCAGCCAUGCCGCGUGUGUGAAGAAGGUCUUCGGAUUGUAAAGCACUUUAAGUUGGGAGGAAGGGCAGUAAGUUAAUACCUUGCUGUUUUGACGUUACCAACAGAAUAAGCACCGGCUAACUUCGUG